UACGGAGGGUGCAAGCGUUAUCCGGAUUCACUGGGUUUAAAGGGUGCGUAGGAGGGCAGGUAAGUCAGCGGUGAAAUCUCUGGGCUUAACCCGGAAACUGCCAUUGAUACUAUCUGUCUUGAAUGCGGUGGAGGUGAGCGGAAUAUGUCAUGUAGCGGUGAAAUGCUUAGAUAUGACAUAGAACACCAAUUGCGAAGGCAGCUCGCUACACAUAUAUUGACGCUCAUGCACGAAAGCGUGGGGAGCAAACAGG
RNAcentral lists this ribosomal RNA (253 nucleotides) under uncultured bacterium. RNAcentral describes it as "partial 16S ribosomal RNA". It matches the Rfam family "Bacterial small subunit ribosomal RNA", at positions 524 to 776 of the family's 1533-position model. The record is from RNAcentral.